Molecule: ribosomal RNA, 478 nt
Filed under: uncultured bacterium
Lineage: Bacteria
Description: partial 16S ribosomal RNA
Rfam family: Bacterial small subunit ribosomal RNA
Source: RNAcentral
GACGAACGCUGGCGGCGUGCUUAACACAUGCAAGUCGAACGGUAAGGCCCUUCGGGGUACACGAGUGGCGAACGGGUGAGUAACACGUGGGUGAUCUGCCCUGCACUUCGGGCUAAGCCUGGGAAACCGGGUCUAAUACCGGAUAGGACUCCGGACUGCAUGUUCUGGGGUAGAAAGCUUUUGCGGCGUGGGAUGGGCCUGCGGCCUAUCAGCUUGUUGGUGGGGUGAUGGCCUACCAAGGCGACGACGGGUAGCCGGCCUGAGAGGGUGACCGGCCACACUGGGACUGAGAUACGGCCCAGACUCCUACGGGAGGCAGCAGUGGGGAAUAUUGCAUAAUGGGCGCAAGCCCGAUGCAGCGACGCCGCGUGAGGGAUGACGGCCUUCGGGUUGUAAACCUCUUUCAGCAUCGACGAAGCGAAAGUGACGGUAGGUGCAGAAGAAGGACCGGCCAACUACGUGCCAGCCGCCGCCGUAA